GCGACUAAGCGUACACGGUGGAUGCCCUGGCAGUCAGAGGCGAUGAAGGACGUGCUAAUCUGCGAUAAGCGUCGGUAAGGUGAUAUGAACCGUUAUAACCGGCGAUUUCCGAAUGGGGAAACCCAGUGUGUUUCGACACACUAUCAUUAACUGAAUCCAUAGGUUAAUGAGGCGAACCGGGGGAACUGAAACAUCUAAGUACCCCGAGGAAAAGAAAUCAACCGAGAUUCCCCCAGUAGCGGCGAGCGAACGGGGAGCAGCCCAGAGCCUGAAUCAGUGUGUGUGUUAGUGGAAGCGUCUGGAAAGGCGCGCGAUACAGGGUGACAGCCCCGUACACAAAAAUGCACAUGCUGUGAGCUCGAUGAGUAGGGCGGGACACGUGGUAUCCUGUCUGAAUAUGGGGGGACCAUCCUCCAAGGCUAAAUACUCCUGACUGACCGAUAGUGAACCAGUACCGUGAGGGAAAGGCGAAAAGAACCCCGGCGAGGGGAGUGAAAAAGAACCUGAAACCGUGUACGUACAAGCAGUGGGAGCACGCUUAGGCGUGUGACUGCGUACCUUUUGUAUAAUGGGUCAGCGACUUAUAUUCUGUAGCAAGGUUAACCGAAUAGGGGAGCCGAAGGGAAACCGAGUCUUAACUGGGCGUUAAGUUGCAGGGUAUAGACCCGAAACCCGGUGAUCUAGCCAUGGGCAGGUUGAAGGUUGGGUAACACUAACUGGAGGACCGAACCGACUAAUGUUGAAAAAUUAGCGGAUGACUUGUGGCUGGGGGUGAAAGGCCAAUCAAACCGGGAGAUAGCUGGUUCUCCCCGAAAGCUAUUUAGGUAGCGCCUCGUGAAUUCAUCUCCGGGGGUAGAGCACUGUUUCGGCAAGGGGGUCAUCCCGACUUACCAACCCGAUGCAAACUGCGAAUACCGGAGAAUGUUAUCACGGGAGACACACGGCGGGUGCUAACGUCCGUCGUGAAGAGGGAAACAACCCAGACCGCCAGCUAAGGUCCCAAAGUCAUGGUUAAGUGGGAAACGAUGUGGGAAGGCCCAGACAGCCAGGAUGUUGGCUUAGAAGCAGCCAUCAUUUAAAGAAAGCGUAAUAGCUCACUGGUCGAGUCGGCCUGCGCGGAAGAUGUAACGGGGCUAAACCAUGCACCGAAGCUGCGGCAGCGACGCUGAUGCGUUGUUGGGUAGGGGAGCGUUCUGUAAGCCUGCGAAGGUGUGCUGUGAGG
RNAcentral lists this ribosomal RNA (1222 nucleotides) under Escherichia coli. Its description in RNAcentral is "partial 23S ribosomal RNA". It matches the Rfam family "Bacterial large subunit ribosomal RNA", at positions 1 to 1268 of the family's 2925-position model. Lineage: Bacteria; Pseudomonadati; Pseudomonadota; Gammaproteobacteria; Enterobacterales; Enterobacteriaceae. The record is from RNAcentral.